CUACGGGAUGCUGCAGUGGGGAAUAUUGGACAAUGGGGGAAACCCUGAUCCAGCAAUGCCGCGUGUGUGAAGAAGGCCUGCGGGUUGUAAAGCACUUUCGAUUGGGAGGACUGCUUCUAGCACUAAUAUUGUUGGAAGUUGACGUUACCUUCAGAAGAAGCACCGGCUAACUCCGUGCCAGCAGCCGCGGUAAUACGGAGGGUGCAAGCUUAAUCGGAAUUACUGGGCGUAAAGCGCGCGUAGGCGGCUAGAUCAGUCGGGUGUGAAAGCCCCGGGCUUAACCUGGGAACUGCAUCCGAUACUGUCUAGCUUGAGUACAGGAGAGGAGAGUGGAAUUCCACAUGUAGCGGUGACAUGCGUAGAUAUGUGGAGGAACACCAAUGGCGAAGGCAGCUCUCUGGCCUGAUACUGACGCUGAGGUGCGAAAGCGUGGGGAGCAAACAGGAUUAGAUACCCCAGUAGUC
RNAcentral lists this ribosomal RNA (464 nucleotides) under uncultured bacterium. Its description in RNAcentral is "partial 16S ribosomal RNA". It matches the Rfam family "Bacterial small subunit ribosomal RNA", at positions 339 to 795 of the family's 1533-position model. The record is from RNAcentral.